Molecule: ribosomal RNA, 293 nt
Filed under: uncultured bacterium
Lineage: Bacteria
Description: partial 16S ribosomal RNA
Rfam family: Bacterial small subunit ribosomal RNA
Source: RNAcentral
GGAUUAGAUACCCUGGUAGUCCACGCCGUAAACGAUGUCAACUAGCCGUUGGGGGACUUGAUCCCUUAGUGGCGCAGCUAACGCGAUAAGUUGACCGCCUGGGGAGUACGGCCGCAAGGUUAAAACUCAAAUGAAUUGACGGGGGCCCGCACAAGCGGUGGAGCAUGUGGUUUAAUUCGAUGCAACGCGAAGAACCUUACCAGGUCUUGACAUCCUCGGAACUUUCCAGAGAUGGAUCGGUGCCUUCGGGAACCGAGUGACAGGUGCUGCAUGGCUGUCGUCAGCUCGUGCCG